CACAGAACAUGUGUUUGGCUGGCUGCCUGGCUAUGAGGUGAAUUUUAAGUAACUUUUCAGGCCAUAUUUACCUGAGGGGUUCAGACAGCAUUAGAGUAUGGCCUCAGUUUGCUUUCCAAAAGUAUGCUAAGUUACAUACGAUACUCUCUUUGAAAGUUAAACAAUAGAUCAAGAGACCUGGUACAAAGGAUUUCUCAUAUAAGUAACUGGUAGAGAAAAAUUAAAAUGUAGUUUUGUAUAUUAUAUUUUUGAGACCAACCCUACUGAAGAAUUCUCUACAUAUGGACCAUGAUAUGCAGCUAGAAAUCACCAAGCAGAGAUGUUCCAAGUAUCAAUUUUGUGACAGGAGUAUUUAGAAGAGAAGCAUCAUGAUGCUUGCAUCUUACAUUCAAGUGGUUUGACAAAAACAUCGACAUUAAUUCCUUGAGUUUCUUUUCUACAAAAGCACUGGCUAUUAAUUCUGAAACAACUUUCUGUGUAUUCUAAAAAGGCUCAAAUAAAUACGUUGCAGAUAAAUGAAGCCACUUUUCUCACUGUUGAAGAAGAAAAUUACAGAUAUGAAAACAGGUAAGAUAGAAUUAAUCCCCUGGGCCGGGCACAGUGGCUCACACCUGUAAUACCAGUACUUUGGGAAGCCAAGGCAGACAGAUCUCUUGAGGUCAGGAGU
This 667-nucleotide long non-coding RNA is filed under the name Homo sapiens (human). Its description in RNAcentral is "HSALNT0311969". Lineage: Eukaryota; Metazoa; Chordata; Mammalia; Primates; Hominidae. The record is from RNAcentral.